GACUUGGUGGUUCAGUAGUAGAAUUCUCGCCUCCCAAGCGGGAGACCUGUGUUCAAUUCCUGGCCAAAACA
Molecule: transfer RNA, 71 nt
Filed under: Loxodonta africana (African savanna elephant)
Lineage: Eukaryota; Metazoa; Chordata; Mammalia; Proboscidea; Elephantidae
Rfam family: tRNA
About the family: Transfer RNA (tRNA) molecules are approximately 80 nucleotides in length.
Source: Rfam by way of RNAcentral